RNAcentral lists this long non-coding RNA (731 nucleotides) under Helianthus annuus (common sunflower). RNAcentral's name for it is "hypothetical non coding rna". Lineage: Eukaryota; Viridiplantae; Streptophyta; Magnoliopsida; Asterales; Asteraceae. The record is from RNAcentral.
CCUCUGUUUUUGGACGGCUCGGACAACACCAGUUGUCGUUAUUUUAUCAAAAUUCAACAAUUUAUCAAACACUAUAACCAUAUUUAUAUAAGAUUUGGAUAAUUUGAAAUCAAACUAUACUUGUAUUAGAUCGGUUCGAGCUCGUUUUUCACGUAAUAUCUAAAAUUAUGAAAUAACGGAAUAAAACGCGUUGUUAAUCUUUACCAUCUACUCAAGUCGAAACGCUAAUUGAGUUGACCGAGUCAACUGGGCUGACCGAGUUGACUCAUUGAGUUGACCGAGUCAACCGGGUUAACGGAGUCAACCGGGUUAACGGAGUCAACCGAGUUAACUGAGUUAACUGAGUUAACCGGAUUUGACCCGAGUUGACCGAGCCAAAACUGAAGCUGACCGUCUAACCGAACCGCGAGACCCGAACCGAACCGUUUGACCUGUUGACUGAGUCGCUAACCAAAGUCUACCAACAAAACUAUCACCCGAACCGUGGCUGACUUGCUCUAAAUCUGACCCGAACCGCCUUUAGUCCCGGAACCCGAAAUCUGAAAAAGAACCCGAACAUGAACUUUGCCUUCACAUAACAUCACCAUCUUCAUCAUCUUCAGUUUACCAAGGAAAUACAAAGAAAUGAAAGGUGUUUACCAGGUGACUCGUCGGAUAAAGACAUGGACCGUCGGAUAAACGAACCGACCGCCGAUCCGAAACACAAACCACCGCAAGGAGGGGAGGGGUGA